AGCACAAACCAGUGGUGAAAACUUGAUUUUGACUCACUGAGAUGGGGUGAGAGAAGAACAAUAAAACAAUCACACCCAGAACCUAAAAUUUGAAGAUUUUAAGCAGAAGCCAGAAAAAUAUCAUUCUUACUUGAUCACACUAAGAUAAAAGAAAUAAAAUCAGAAUAAACAAGAAUGAGAUAGAUACUAACUUAGGUCAAGAA
RNAcentral lists this unclassified non-coding RNA (203 nucleotides) under Hevea brasiliensis (rubber tree). Lineage: Eukaryota; Viridiplantae; Streptophyta; Magnoliopsida; Malpighiales; Euphorbiaceae. The record is from RNAcentral.